This 461-nucleotide ribosomal RNA is filed under the name uncultured soil bacterium. RNAcentral describes it as "bacterial SSU rRNA". It matches the Rfam family "Bacterial small subunit ribosomal RNA", at positions 26 to 488 of the family's 1533-position model. The record is from RNAcentral.
AGGACGAACGCUGGCGGCGUGCUUAACACAUGCAAGUCGAGCGGUAAGGCUCCUUCGGGAGUACACGAGCGGCGAACGGGUGAGUAACACGUGAGUAAUCUGCCCUUCACUUCGGGAUAACCACCGGAAACGGUGGCUAAUACCGAAUACGACGAGUCCCGGCACCGGGUGCUCGUGGAAAGUUUUCUCGGUGAAGGAUGUGCUCGCGGCCUAUCAGCUUGUUGGUGAGGUAACGGCUCACCAAGGCUUCGACGGGUAGCCGGCCUGAGAGGGUGACCGGCACACUGGGACUGAGACACGGCCCAGACUCCUACGGGAGGCCAGCAGUGGGGAAUAUUGGACAAUGGGCGAAAGCCUGGAUCCAGCAACGCCGCGUGAGGGAUGACGGCCUUCGAGGUUGUAAACCUCUUUACAGUAGUCGACGAAGCGCCUUUAACGGUGGUGACGGUAGAUACAGAAGA